AAUUACAGGGUUCAUGCCUGGCUUUUUACCUGGGUGCCAUGGAUUUGAACUCAUGUUCUCCUUGUGAAGACACUCUCAUACCCACCAAGCCAAGUUAUGUCCCCUCUAUGUGACUUUUGAAGUAAGCCGGUGAUAAUGUUUUACAUAUAUUUGAUCAGCAGUGUUAGCCUUACCAUGAACCUCUCUUUACAUUCUCCCCAUGCCUUUCCUGAUUUGUUUAGGGAAGAAAAUAAACAUGGUGAAUGAAAGAACUAAACAGUUCAAGAAAGCUGGUGUCCCCUUUAGUGUCUCACCAGGUUCUUCAGUGGGGAGCAAAUAUAGAUUGCCCUAUAGGUGAGAACUUGGAAGACAUCUCCAGGGGCAACUACAUCUAUAGGUCGAUGAUACAAAAAAUAACUCAAACCAUACCCUGGGAAAUUGUGAAUAGGAACCACGUAUGGAAUCUAUGUGGGUAUGGUCUUGUCAACAGGAGACCUGUCAUUCCAGGUUCAUUUCCUUUUGUAGAGAGUUCAACAAAUGUUUAACGAGUGCCUGUUAUUUGAUAGAUGCCUUCCAGGUAUCUGGGGACCCCAGUAAAGGCCACACCUGGGUAGAACUUUCAGUCUGGUUAAUUACCACACUGCCAGCCUACUGCCUUGGGACUUGUUCCCUGUCAGAGUUGCCCAGUUGGGAAUUAGCAGGCCUGGCUCCUAUGUGGAUAGUAAAUCUGGUGCUCUUAGAUGGCAAGUUCCUCAACAGCUGGAGGGCAGGAUGGUGAUUAUUAAUGAUAAAAUUAGAGUCAAGAGAGGCUCAGGAUGCCUGGCCUGCAGCUGCUUGCUGUGUGGUGUGGUGAUGCAGGGACCCAGGUCAGCAGUGAAGUGUCACUAUCAGCGCUGCUUCUGCUAUCCACCUUGUCAUGUUCUCGAGCCACCUGAUACAGAGGGAGCAGGGCCAUCUCCCCAGCCUUCUCCUUGUCCUCACUGGCUUUGUCAACAAGUGUUUUGGAAGGGCCCUCAUCCUUGCAGCUUGCUCAAGCCCUUCACAGCCAGGUGUCCUGCUGCUUUCAAAAAGGAUGAGAACAACUUACCAGACAACUGUGGCCAUGGCAAAGCAGCAGCGAGAAAGGAGCAGGCAUCCAUGGAGCAGAAUCUCCACACUGCUGAGAUCCGAGGUAAACCUGUGGUCUCUGCACGCUCCAGUGGGGUUGACUGUUUCUUGCAGACCAGGCCAUGAUGGUUUGGUUUACUACCAUAAGGCCUCAGGAGCAACAUCAGGGAAAAUGUCACUCAGCUCCAGAUGCACCUGUGCCCUUUGUCACACACUACAGGACAGGAGCUUAGGGAUAUCAGUCACCUCUUUGUGGCCCAUGUCUUAGGGCAAGACAUGUUUGUUUUGGAAACCAGGAUGUGUGGCCGGAGCAGUGCUUGCUGACUGCCAGGGCUUGGGACCUUUCUCCUUCCAGCAGAAGAAACACCAGAGGAAACCCAUCACAGUUAUCCGGGCCUGAUGGCUAGCAGCGAGGGCGCUUGCCUCUCUCUGGCCACACCCACGACACUAUCUCUGCAGUGAGGAGUUCACCAGGAUGCACUUGAAUGGCUGUGUUCUUGUGUUUUUUCAGGGGGAUUCUUUGAUACUCUGUAAUAUUGACAAUACACGAAUGAUAAAAUCUCCCCACAGAUAGUUCAGCUAAUUGCUCCUUCUAGGUAAAGGAUGGCCCCAUUUCUGGGUCUGUCUGAUCAUGACUUUUCAUUUUCUGCCAUAAAUGAACCUAAUUUGCAAAUGAAAAAUUUCAGCGAAGCAUCAGUUGCCUGCAAGGGAAUUAAGGCUGGAACCUUUGGAAGGGCUCAGCCGAACACACAAUCACAUUUUAAACAAAAGACUUAUGAUCUUAAUUCACGGUUAAAGUAACAAUUGCUCUCAAAUAGUACUUAGUAUUUGAAAGGCUCAGGCAGUCCGAUAAUAGUGAUCAAGAGCAGUUAAACUUGCUCCGAGCUAAGAAAAACAAAAACAAAUAGUGUUUGUCAAAACAUGCAUAGUGUAUCCCGUCUGUAGGGCAAAGUUUUGCUCAGAUUACCCCCUCAUGUUCCUGUUUAGUGUCAAGGGGGAAAAGCAAUUCUUGCCUGGGUCCAGUCUGUGAGGCUGGGGAGCUGAGUUCUAGUCCUUGGCCCAGCUAUUGAGCUGUUUAAGUCAUAUCAAAAUGUAAAGGCUGUGUGUGUUUCGUUCAGGAACCUAAAUCAUUGAGGCGGGUAGUGAACCCGCUGCUAGGAUUUAUU
This 2252-nucleotide long non-coding RNA is filed under the name Mus musculus (house mouse). RNAcentral's name for it is "long non-coding RNA chr9:68784400-68786652". Lineage: Eukaryota; Metazoa; Chordata; Mammalia; Rodentia; Muridae. The record is from RNAcentral.